GAUGAACGCUGGCGGCGUGCCUAAUACAUGCCAGUCGAGCGAACAGACGAGGAGCUUGCUCCUCUGACGUUAGCGGCGGACGGGUGAGUAACACGUGGAUAACCUACCUAUAAGACUGGGAUAACUUCGGGAAACCGGAGCUAAUACCGGAUAAUAUAUUGAACCGCAUGGUUCAAUAGUGAAAGACGGUUUUGCUGUCACUUAUAGAUGGAUCCGCGCCGCAUUAGCUAGUUGGUAAGGUAACGGCUUACCAAGGCAACGAUGCGUAGCCGACCUGAGAGGGUGAUCGGCCACACUGGAACUGAGACACGGUCCAGACUCCUACGGGAGGCAGCAGUAGGGAAUCUUCCGCAAUGGGCGAAAGCCUGACGGAGCAACGCCGCGUGAGUGAUGAAGGUCUUCGGAUCGUAAAACUCUGUUAUUAGGGAAGAACAAGUGUGUAAGUAACUAUGCACGUCUUGACGGUACCUAAUCAGAAAGCCACGGCUAACUACGUG
RNAcentral lists this ribosomal RNA (497 nucleotides) under uncultured bacterium. RNAcentral's name for it is "partial 16S ribosomal RNA". It matches the Rfam family "Bacterial small subunit ribosomal RNA", at positions 28 to 507 of the family's 1533-position model. The record is from RNAcentral.